ACAACCUUUCGGGGUUGAGUGGCGGACGGGUGAGUAACGCGUGAGAAUCUGCCUUUAGGUCCGGGACAACCACUGGAAACGGUGGCUAAUACCGGAUGUGCCGCAACGUGAAAGGGGAAACCCGCCUGAAGAUGAGCUCGCGUCUGAUUAGCUAGUUGGUGAGGUAAAGGCUCACCAAGGCGACGAUCAGUAGCUGGUCUGAGAGGAUGACCAGCCACACUGGGACUGAGACACGGCCCAGACUCCUACGGGAGGCAGCAGUGGGGAAUUUUCCGCAAUGGGCGAAAGCCUGACGGAGCAAGACCGCGUGAGGGAAGAAGGCUCUUGGGUCGUAAACCUCUUUUGUCAGGGAAGAACACAAUGACGGUACCUGACGAAUCAGCCUCGGCUAACUCCGUGCCAGCAGCCGCGGUAAUACGGAGGAGGCAAGCGUUAUCCGGAAUUAUUGGGCGUAAAGCGUCCGUAGGUGGCUAGUCAAGUCUGCGGUCAAAGACUGGGGCUUAACCCUGGAAAGGCCGUGGAAACUGACGAGCUAGAGUGCAGUAGGGGUAGAGGGAAUUCCCGGUGUAGCGGUGAAAUGCGUAGAGCUCGGGAAGAACAUCGGUGGCGAAAGCGCUCUACUGGACUGCAACUGACACUCAGGGACGAAAGCUAGGGGAGCGAAUGGGAUUAGAUACCCCAGUAGUCCUAGCCGUAAACGAUGGAUACUA
This 710-nucleotide ribosomal RNA is filed under the name uncultured cyanobacterium. Its description in RNAcentral is "bacterial SSU rRNA". It matches the Rfam family "Bacterial small subunit ribosomal RNA", at positions 69 to 818 of the family's 1533-position model. Lineage: Bacteria; Bacillati; Cyanobacteriota. The record is from RNAcentral.